This 125-nucleotide small RNA is filed under the name Marmota monax (woodchuck). Lineage: Eukaryota; Metazoa; Chordata; Mammalia; Rodentia; Sciuridae. The record is from RNAcentral.
GCUGGGUGUGGUGGUGCAUGCCUGUAAUCCCAGCAGCUCAGGAGGCUGAGGCAGGAGGAUCGCGAGUUCAAAGCCAGCCUCAGCAAUAGCGAGGCCCUAAGCAACUCAGUGAGACCCUGUCUCUA